Molecule: long non-coding RNA, 3860 nt
Filed under: Homo sapiens (human)
Lineage: Eukaryota; Metazoa; Chordata; Mammalia; Primates; Hominidae
Description: HSALNT0290963
Source: RNAcentral
CUCAGCGGCGCUUCUUAGCAGAGGAAGCUGUUUGCGGGGAAAAAGGGCCAGAGAAGCAGAUGCAGAAACUGAGGCUCAGAAGCGUUCGGCCACGUGCAUGCAUUGCCUUUCCCAUUGGUGCUCCAUCGCCAGUAAUGGAUAAGUAAUAAGUAAUAAGGUGCAUUGGAAAUUCAAAUUUCAGAAUAAGCUGACUGCCAAGAGGGCCCUCCCCCUGUCGGGAGUCCCUUAGUCCAUGGGAAAUUCACAGAGAAGGAAACAGUCACUUUUCCUGCACCUGAGAAGGUGAUUCUGACUCUCCUGGAACCUGAGAACCACCAGUCUACGGGAACAGAGCCCUGCUUUGGGUCAGGUGUGUAUAACUAUGGUAUUCCCUUUCUUCUCUGCCUCUAUUGUUGAUGUUGUUUUUUUGUUUUUUGUUUUUUUUUGAAACGGAGUCUCGCUGUUGCCCAGGCUGGAGUGCAGUGGCGCAAUCUCGGCUCACUACAAUCUCCGCCUCUGGGGUUCACGCCAUUCUCCUGCCUCAGCCUCCCGAGUAGCUGGUAAGGGAGGAGACCACCCCUCACAUUGUCUUAUGCCCAAUUUCUGCCUCCAAAGAAAGAAGUAAAAACUAAAAGGCAGAAAUGAAAUCCACAGGCAGACAGCCCGGCGCUGCACCCUGGGCCUGGUAGUUAAAGAUCGACCCCUGACCUAAUCAGUUAUGUUGUCUAUAGAUUACAGACAUUGUAUAGAAAUGCACUGUGAAAAUCCCUAUCUGUUUUGUUCCGAUCUAGUUACCAGUGCAUGCAGACCCCAGUCACGUACCCCUUGCUUGCUCAAUCAAUCCCGACCCCCUCACACGCACCCUCCUUAGAGUUGUGAGCCCUUAAAAGGGAUAGGAAUUGCUCACUCGGGGAGCUCGGCUCUCGAGACAGGAGUCUUGCCGAUGCCCCCAGCCGAUUAAACCCCUUCCUUCAACUCGGUGUCUGAGGAGUUUUGUCUGCAGCUCGUCCUGCUACACUGGGACUACAGGCGCUCGCCACCACGCCCGGCUAAUUUUUUAUAUUUUUUAGUAGAGGCAGGGUUUCACCGUGUUAGCCAGGAUGGUCUCGAUUGCCUGACCUCAUGAUCCGCCUGCCUUGGCCUCCCAAAGUGUUGGGAUUACAGGCGUGAGCCACCGCGCCCGGCCCCACUCUCUACCUCUGUUUGUUUAGGGGCAGGCAUAGAAUCCCAUUCUAGUCAAUGAGACAGAAAGGGGUUCUGGAAAGUUCCCCCACCCCCUUAUAAAACAAGGAGGACGUCUUCAAGGAGGACGUCUGAGGAGAAGCUUUGCCGUGGCCUUUUGCCUUUGGAUGCUGCCAGAGGGGUUAGAAGGCGGAGCUCCACAGUCAGGCAGCUGGGGUGUGUAUCCUAGCGGGGAGAGCAAGAGACAGUGGGACAAAAAUAAUAACAGUAAUAGCAGCAAUGCUUCUUGAGGACUUUCCGCAUGGCAGGCCCUAUUCUAAGCACCUCAUGUAGCAUAUUUUACCCUCAAACAGUCCUGAGGUAGGUUCUGUUAUUGCGAUUUUAUAAAUGAGGAAACUGAAGCACAGACAAGUUUAAAUAACUCGUUCAAAGUCAUACAGCUCAUACAUGGAGGCCAGCAUGCAGGCCAGGUGUGUGGGGUAUGGGCAUUGCGGGCUACUUUAGGGACCCUGACCUUUUCCUCAGCAUAGUGGGAAGCUGGUGAAAGGUUUUAAGCAGGGGUGGCCCCUCUGAUUUACCUUUUUUUUUUUUUUUUUUUUUUUGAGACAGUGUCUCACUCUGUUGCCCAGGCUGGAGCGCACUGGUGAGAUCUUGGCUCACUGCAGCCUCAAACUCCUGGGCUCAAGUGAUCCUCCCACCUCAGCCUCCUGAGAAGCUGGGACUACAGGCAAAUGCUACAGUGGCUGGCUACUUUUUGUAAAGACGGAGUUUCACCAUGUUACCCAGGCUGGUUUUGAACUCCUGAGCUCAAGCAAUCCGUCCACCUCUGCCUCCCAAAGUGCUGGGAUUACACGCAUGAGCCACCACAUCUGGCCUGAUUUACUUUUAAAAGUCACUGAAAUGCUUUGCUCCUAAAUUCUCUGCUGGGGACAAGCCAGCCACACUUGCACGGCCUGUUCUUCAGCCUCUUUUCCUCCCUGAGACAUCAGUCCCUUAGCAAACCCAGCGUCUUGGGUGACUGGGACCAGGGUGACUCAAUGGCAGAUGCUGAUGGGUGAGACAGCCACAAAGAUGAUCUUUGGAGAGUGAGUUAUAGGUGAUUUGUUUUAUUUAAUUUUUAAUUUUUUUAUUUUUUUUUGAGACAGAGUCUCACUCUGUCGCCCAGGCUGGAGUGCAGUGGCGUGAUCUCAGCUCACUGCAACCUCCUCCUCCCGGUUCAAGCUACUCUCCUGACUCAGCCUCCAGAGUAGCUGAGAUUCCAGGCAUGUGCCACCACACCCAGCUAAUCUUUGUAUUUUUAGUAUAGACAGGGUUUCACCAUAUUGGCCAGGCUGGUCUCCAACUCCUGACCUCAAGUGAUCCACCAACCUUGGCCUCCCAAAGUGUUGGGAUUACAGGAGUGAGCCACCACCUCUGGCCAGGUGAUUCGUUUUAAAUCUGAAUUUUUACAUUUUUUUAUAAUAAGUGACCAUAUAUCACUUGCUAUUUAAAAAAAAAUUUUUUUUGAGAUGGAGUUUCACCCUUGUUGCCCAGGCUGGAGUGCAAUGGCAUGAUCUUGGGCCACUGCAAUCUCCGCCUCCCGGGUUCGAGCGAUUCUCCUGCCUCAGCCUCCAAGUAGCUGGGACUACAGGCAUGUGCCACCACGCCCAGAUAAUUUUUGUAUUUUUAGUAGAGGCAGGGUUUCACCAUGUUGGCCAGGCUGGUCUCAAACUCCUGACCUCCGGUGAUUCUCCUGCCUUGGCCUCCCAAAGUGCUGGGAUUACAGGCAUGAGCCACCGUGCCCAGCCAAAAGUCAUUAUUUAUAAAAAGAAAGAUGAGGGGCCAGCACCCCACCCUCCCCAGGGUUGUUGACUCCUGCUGGUACUGGCUGUGGCUGAAGUCAUCAUCAUGGAGGCUAACCCUUGGAGGGUAGAUAGUGCAGUGGCAGCAUCCUAAGGGCUUUAUGUGACCUGUAUGAACUCAUUUAAUCCCCACUGGCUUGGCCAAGGCCACAGAGCUGAAGAGUGGCAGGCUAGCGUCCGGACUCUCAGCUAUGUACCAGGCUGCUUUUCUGGAAAUGUUUUCCAGUUCCCCCGUGGGUGAAAGGCCUGUCCUUCCCACACCUUCCACAGUGGAAGUGGCCUCCAUUCUCUGCUGUGCAGAAUUGCUGGUGGAGAAGUGGGUGUUGGGGAGCUGGGGGCAGGAAAUAGAAGAUAUUGGACAGAAAUGUCCUGCAGUUGUUUGAAGCCUAAACAAAAACCCUUUCUUGGCCAGGUGCGGUGGCUCAUGCCUAUAAUCCUGGCACUUUGGGAGGCUGAGGUGGGCCGAUCACUUGAGGUCAGGAGUUCAAAACCAGCCUGGCUAACAUGGUGAAACUCCAUCUAUUCUAAAAAUACAAAAAUUAGCCGAGUGUGGUGGUGGGUGCCUGUAAUCCCAGCUACUCGGGAGGCUGAGGCAGGAGAAUCACUUGAACCCGGGAGGCAGAGGUUGCAGUGAGCUGAGAUCGCGCCACUGUACUCCAGCCUGGGUGAUACAGCGAGACUCCAUCUCAAAAAAAAAAAAAAAAAAAAUAGUAGGUCCAACCUCACAGAACUGUGGGAGGAAUUAGGCUUAGAACUGUAACUGGCACUCAGGAAGUACACAACUGAGGUUAGCCGAUUUUAUGUUUAGCUUGCACCAUCUUCUCCCUCUCUCUGUUUCUCUGUUUUUCUCUGUUUCAG